AGCAGCCGCGGUAAUUCCAGCUCCAAUAGCGUAUAUUAAAGUUGUUGCAGUUAAAAAGCUCGUAGUUGAAUUUCGGGAUCAAUUUAUUGGUCGUGCCAUUGUACGUACUGGUAUUAUUGAUUUCUACCUUCUGACGAACCAUGAUGUCAUUAAUUUGGUGUCUUGGGGAAUCAGGACUGUUACUUUGAAAAAAUUAGAGUGUUUAAAGCAGGCUCACGCUUGAAUACAUUAGCA
Molecule: ribosomal RNA, 234 nt
Filed under: uncultured Glomus
Lineage: Eukaryota; Fungi; Glomeromycota; Glomeromycetes; Glomerales; Glomeraceae
Description: partial 18S ribosomal RNA
Rfam family: Eukaryotic small subunit ribosomal RNA
Source: RNAcentral